GCUAGCACACAGUCUUUUGCUCCGCAUAUUUCUGUCAAUUUUUCACAACUUCAUGAUACAGUCUAAUACUGAGCAUUGAUACAAAAACAUUAUAAGACCUCACAAAGAUUUUGUAUAGAUAUGAAUAUGGUAUAAGGAAAAAAAUAAAAUUAGAAUUUAAACCAUUCAGGUAUCCUCAUUUCCAGUUUGAAGGCAAGGAGAAUAGCACUAAAUGUUAGGUUGACGUAUAUUUUUUUGAAUUUAAAACAUUACACUGGUACAUUUUAUAAGUUAAACCUGUAUCACCUGUUGCAAGAAGGUAGGUGUCAAAAAACUUAUAACUUGUACAAAAACCCUGUACAAAUUAUAAUUUGUACAAACUUACAUCUUGUACACAACAUAUAUAU
RNAcentral lists this long non-coding RNA (386 nucleotides) under Mytilus galloprovincialis (Mediterranean mussel). The record is from RNAcentral. Lineage: Eukaryota; Metazoa; Mollusca; Bivalvia; Mytilida; Mytilidae.